RNAcentral lists this ribosomal RNA (487 nucleotides) under Aneurinibacillus migulanus. RNAcentral's name for it is "bacterial SSU rRNA". It matches the Rfam family "Bacterial small subunit ribosomal RNA", at positions 27 to 504 of the family's 1533-position model. The record is from RNAcentral. Lineage: Bacteria; Bacillati; Bacillota; Bacilli; Caryophanales; Paenibacillaceae.
GGACGAACGCUGGCGGCGUGCCUAAUACAUGCAAGUCGAGCGGACCAAUGAAGAGCUUGCUCUUCGGCGGUUAGCGGCGGACGGGUGAGUAACACGUAGGCAACCUGCCUGUACGACUGGGAUAACUCCGGGAAACCGGAGCUAAUACCGGAUACUUCUUUCAGACCGCAUGGUCUGAAAGGGAAAGACYUUUGGUCACGUACAGAUGGGCCUGCGGCGCAUUAGCUAGUUGGUGGGGUAACGGCCUACCAAGGCGACGAUGCGUAGCCGACCUGAGAGGGUGAUCGGCCACACUGGGACUGAGACACGGCCCAGACUCCUACGGGAGGCAGCAGUAGGGAAUCUUCCGCAAUGGACGAAAGUCUGACGGAGCAACGCCGCGUGAACGAUGAAGGUUUUCGGAUCGUAAAGUUCUGUUGUUAGGGAAGAACCGCCGGGAUGACCUCCCGGUCUGACGGUACCUAACGAGAAAGCCCCGGCUAACUAC